CUCCCAAACCCAAUGUGAACCAUACCAAACUGUUGCCUCGGCGGGGUCACGCCCCGGGUGCGUCGCAGCCCCGGAACCAGGCGCCCGCCGGAGGGACCAACCAAACUCUUUCUGUAGUCCCCUCGCGGACGUUAUUUUUUACAGCUCUGAGCAAAAAUUCAAAAUGAAUCAAAACUUUCAACAACGGAUCUCUUGGUUCUGGCAUCGAUGAAGAACGCAGCGAAAUGCGAUAAGUAAUGUGAAUUGCAGAAUUCAGUGAAUCAUCGAAUCUUUGAACGCACAUUGCGCCCGCCAGUAUUCUGGCGGGCAUGCCUGUCCGAGCGUCAUUUCAACCCUCGAACCCCUCCGGGGGUCCGGCGUUGGGGAUCGGGAACCCCUAAGACGGGAUCCCGGCCCCGAAAUACAGUGGCGGUCUCGCCGCAGCCUCUCAUGCGCAGUAGUUUGCACAACUCGCACCGGGAGCGCGGCGCGUCCACGUCCGUAAAACACCCAACUUCUGAAAUGUUGACCUCGGAUCAGGUAGGAAUACCCGCUGAACUUAA
Molecule: ribosomal RNA, 542 nt
Filed under: fungal sp. 711 YZ-2011
Lineage: Eukaryota; Fungi
Description: eukaryotic LSU rRNA
Rfam family: 5.8S ribosomal RNA (bases 173-326)
Source: RNAcentral